Molecule: ribosomal RNA, 233 nt
Filed under: uncultured bacterium
Lineage: Bacteria
Description: partial 16S ribosomal RNA
Rfam family: Bacterial small subunit ribosomal RNA
Source: RNAcentral
CGCACGGGUGCGUAACGCGUAUACAAUCUACCUUUUGCUGAGGAAUAGCCCAGAGAAAUUUGGAUUAAUGCCUCAUAGUAUGUUGACUUCGCAUGGAGAUAACAUUAAAGGUUACGGCAAAAGAUGAGUAUGCGUCCUAUUAGUUAGUUGGUGUGGUAACGGCACACCAAGACAGCGAUAGGUAGGGGCCCUGAGAGGGGGAUCCCCCACACUGGUACUGAGACACGGACCAG